UACAGAGGGCCCAAGCGUUGUUCGGAUUCACUGGGCGUAAAGGGUGCGUAGGUGGCCAGGUAAGUUCGGUGUGAAAGCUCGGAGCUUAACUCCGAAAUGGCAUUGAAUACUAUCUGGCUAGAGGGUCGGAGGGGAGACUGGAAUUCUCGGUGUAGCAGUGAAAUGCGUAGAUAUCGUAAGGAAGACCAGUGGCGAAGGCGGGUCUCUGGACAGUUCCUGACGCUGAGGCACGAAGGUCAGGGGAGCAAACGGG
RNAcentral lists this ribosomal RNA (253 nucleotides) under uncultured bacterium. RNAcentral describes it as "partial 16S ribosomal RNA". It matches the Rfam family "Bacterial small subunit ribosomal RNA", at positions 524 to 776 of the family's 1533-position model. The record is from RNAcentral.